UGGGUGAAGCUCUAGUAACUUCUAUGUCCUGCGCCUUUAAGGCUUGACAAUCUUUUGAGUAACUGAACUAUGGGGACAUUCGAAUUAGCAAGCUUCUCCCA
Molecule: non-coding RNA, 101 nt
Organism: Callorhinus ursinus (northern fur seal)
Lineage: Eukaryota; Metazoa; Chordata; Mammalia; Carnivora; Otariidae
Source: RefSeq, a predicted model, not a curated record